RNAcentral lists this ribosomal RNA (348 nucleotides) under Scymnus fuscatus. RNAcentral describes it as "partial 16S ribosomal RNA". The record is from RNAcentral. Lineage: Eukaryota; Metazoa; Arthropoda; Insecta; Coleoptera; Coccinellidae.
AGUAGGGCCUGCCCACUGAAGUUUUAAAGGGCCGCAGUAUCUUAACUGUGCAAAGGUAGCAUAAUCAUUAGUUUUUUAAUUGGAAGCUGGAAUGAAUGGUUUGAUGAAAAAAUUUCUGUUUCAAUAUUAAUUUUUUAAAACUUUAUUUUUAAGUUAAAAAGCUUAAAUUUCUAUAAAAGACGAGAAGACCCUAUAGAGUUUAAUUGAUUAGUAAUUAUUUAAAUUUAGAAUUUAUUUUUAUAUAGUUAUUUAUUAAUUUAAUUGGGGUGAUUAAAAAAUUUAAUAAACUUUUUUUAAAUUUUUACAUUAAUUUAUGAAUAAAUGAUCCAUAAAAAUGAUUAAAAGAAU